This 911-nucleotide ribosomal RNA is filed under the name uncultured bacterium. RNAcentral's name for it is "bacterial SSU rRNA". It matches the Rfam family "Bacterial small subunit ribosomal RNA", at positions 102 to 1012 of the family's 1533-position model. The record is from RNAcentral.
ACGGGUGCGUAACACGUAUGCAAUCUACCCUUAACUGGGGGAUAGCCCCGAGAAAUCGGGAUUAAUACCCCAUAAUAUUAUGAAGUGGCAUCAUUUUAUAAUUAAAGCUCCGGCGGUUUUGGAUGAGCAUGCGCGACAUUAGCUAGUUGGUGAGGUAACGGCUCACCAAGGCUUCGAUGUCUAGGGGUUCUGAGAGGAUUCACCCCCACACUGGUACUGAGACACGGACCAGACUCCUACGGGAGGCAGCAGUAAGGAAUAUUGGUCAAUGGACGCAAGUCUGAACCAGCCAUGCCGCGUGCAGGAUGACGGCCCUACGGGUUGUAAACUGCUUUUGUACGGGAAAAAACCUCCGGUCGUGAAUCGGAGCUGAUGGUACCGUAAGAAUAAGCAUCGGCUAACUCCGUGCCAGCAGCCGCGGUAAUACGGAGGAUGCAAGCGUUAUCCGGAUUCAUUGGGUUUAAAGGGUGCGCAGGCGGAAUGAUAAGUCAGUGGUGAAAUCUCUCGGCUCAACUGAGAAACUGCCAUUGAUACUGUUGUUCUUGAGUACACUUGAAGUGGGCGGAAUGUGUCAUGUAGCGGUGAAAUGCUUAGAUAUGACACAGAACACCGAUCGCGAAGGCAGCUCACUAAAUUGUAACUGACGCUCAGGCACGAAAGCGUGGGGAUCAAACAGGAUUAGAUACCCUGGUAGUCCACGCCGUAAACGAUGAUCACUCGAUGUUGGCGAUAUACAGUCAGCGUCUAAGCGAAAGCAUUAAGUGAUCCACCUGGGGAGUACGGCCGCAAGGUUGAAACUCAAAGGAAUUGACGGGGGCCCGCACAAGCGGAGGAGCAUGUGGUUUAAUUCGAUGAUACGCGAGGAACCUUACCUGGGCUAGAACGCAAGAUGACAGUUCGAGAAAUCGGAU